Long non-coding RNA from Triticum aestivum (bread wheat), 2510 nucleotides. RefSeq lists it as uncharacterized. Lineage: Eukaryota; Viridiplantae; Streptophyta; Magnoliopsida; Poales; Poaceae. The record is from RefSeq and is a predicted model, not a curated record. The transcript has 5 exons.
CCCUCUCUUGUACGGCGCCGCCUAGGGUUGCGACUCACGCCAUCGCCGCCGGCCAUCGCAGGGGCCAUCCCUCCUUCCACCACCAGCCAUCCCAGUCGUGAGCGUCCCAACCCAUGCCCAGCUCCCUCUUCCCACCUUUCCAUGGCAGCAGAUCUGAGGGGAGGGGGGUGGGGGUGGGGCAAGGGCCCUUCGCUCCCGGUGGUCUGAAGCGACGCAGGCGGCCUCUGCUUCCUCCGCGUCCAGCGAAGUAGGAACAGGGCGGCAGGUGGCCCCAUCUCUCCCAUCUACUUUCAGUGACCACGAGUAGCCACCCAUGGCAGCAACGACAUGGAAACAAGGCCGUUCACAAGACUACGACCACUGAUGACAAGAGGCUUCAAAGGACCUUGAAAAGGUGCAAGCAUCCAUCACUUUAAACACAUGGGUUGUCACUUGUCAGUGGAACACCACAGACAAAAAAGCUGCAAGAUCUGCGGGCAACACUUAUCAACCAACUUCUGUAAGGCCUGACUGGUUUUGGAUAGAAAUAUUCGAUAGAGAACUCAGUAAUCAAACCUGCCCACAUGUUAACAUGUGAGGGUGCAACUGAAUUGCUGUACAUGAAUCUGGAACAAGAGAGGAAGAACUGAGGAUUCUUCAAGAAGCUGCUUCUAUUUAUGCACAAAGGCAUUGUAGCCAGGUAAGAUGUACAUAGGCCUUUUCUGGUUGCUUGUCUAUUGAUCAUCCUUAGUCAUUUGUGAUUAGCAUAUGAAAGCACAAGUACGACUGUACUUUUCUUAUAUGAAUAGAAGAACCACACCAUCAGACUGACGUACAUUCAUACUACUAUAUUGUGGUCCAUUUCGGAUAAUAAGAUAGGUUACAAAUUGAAUGCCAAAGAGUUGGCUGGUCAUUUUGCAUCAUUUCAGAUGAUUUUCUGAAGUUUUAAUUGUGUACCAAACCAACUGAAUAUUAUAGAUGCACUUGUUACUUUUACUUCAAACCAUUGACACCCUGAAGUUUGCAGGGUUCAAUAGACACAUGAUGUGUUAGCAUUUGCCUAUCUACCUGAAAGGUUUGCCAGGAGGUUACCAAUAUCAGUGUGUCGUGUGCUGUAGAAAUGGACUUUCCGAUACCAGCAAGUGUGUGGACUUACCAUGUUGUAUUUGCGACACUUGAAUUCACAAUAGCUAGACCAUCCAAUUGGUACAUAAGUUUGUCAUUGUUUUACACUUUUAGUUCUUGGUCAGCAUUGAUUUGUUCUCUCCAUCAAAAGAACUAAUUGCUCAAUUGAAAGAGAAGUGAAACAGAGCCGUUGUCAAUUUUUUAACAAUGUUUAUAUUAUUUAAUUGGUUUCCCUGUGUUCUAUUGAAGACUAAAAUAUGAUUUAUGGUAUACGGUACAGAGCCUACUUUCUGCAAUUAGUACAGAACACUGCUAGUUGCUCUUAAUAAUAGUUAAAUUUGUCAGAACAUUAUAUCUUGUUUACACUGCUAGCUGAUUAUUGCUUAAUAGUAAUAGUUAAUUUGGCAUUACAGAACACUCCAAUUAGCACAUCCAUAGUACAGAACAGAGCUUAAUACAUCGCUAGUUGCUUUUCAAGUUGCUAUUUCUGAAUCCUGUUUCUAGGCCAAUAUAGUACAUGGUAUCUUUAUCAAGAUCUUGACUAACUAUCCAUAAAAAAAGAUCUUGACUAACUAUAUUUCAAUAUGGCAGCACGCGUAAUUUUUCCAUUCUACCCAGCCAUGAAGAAGGCGCCCAUCCAUGAGCUAUUAAUCAGCAAGUAUCAGGAAAAACCUAGUAUUUAUAAUCUGUAUGUACAGAUUAAUAAGCAGUGUAUAUAUAUUUAGUUAUCAUGCAGAUGCUGGUUAUGCCUUUAUAAAUAGCAAAAGAAAUGUGUAAACUGGUUCUACGUUUGAGAUACUAAUUCUAUAUUUCCGAUAUAUUUUUCCUUGUAUGGCCUGAAUAGUAAAGCAAAUGGUGGUCAUUCGCACAACUCAUUUUUGUUACUCUUAUACCUAUGACACUGUAUUCCCUACGGACAUUUUUUUUUGGAAACAAGUGUUGGAAUAUUGGCUGCUGGUACCUAUGCAGUAACUUAAGUAUGUCCCUAGGAACACUAAAUGCUCAGCAAUCGUACAGAGGGAUUCUAUGCCACACCCAUGGCCACUGCUGGGAGUCGAUUGGUGGUCUUCAUGUUCCGCUACUUUUAUAGAUUAGAUAAGUGUAUUCCUCAUUUUGUGCUCAUGUGUGUGCACAGUGCAGAUAUGAAUUCUGACUGUAUUCAAUUUUAUAAAUUAAUUGAACAUUCUAAUAAUUGAGACUUCUUUAUCUUCUGUUGGAAGCAAACAUAAGGAAACCAUGAAGCCGAUGAUCCGCAUCAACAGGAUGUUUUAGCUUUCAUUCUGUACAACUGAUGUCUCAUAAUUGUGUUUUUUUUGUUGUCCUUAUGUAAACCUGAUGUAUGGUAUCUUGUCUUGCUGGUUAGAACAGAUUGAACUGUAUGUAUGUGACAAUUAGUUAAUGGAAUA